This 467-nucleotide ribosomal RNA is filed under the name uncultured bacterium. RNAcentral's name for it is "partial 16S ribosomal RNA". It matches the Rfam family "Bacterial small subunit ribosomal RNA", at positions 28 to 507 of the family's 1533-position model. The record is from RNAcentral.
GAUGAACGCUGACAGAAUGCUUAACACAUGCAAGUCAACUUGAAUUUGGGUUUUUAACUUAGGAUUGGGUGGCGGACGGGUGAGUAACGCGUAAAGAACUUGCCUCACAGCUAGGGACAACAUUUGGAAACGAAUGCUAAUACCUAAUAUUAUGAUAAUAGGGCAUCCUAUAAUUAUGAAAGCUAUAAGCGCUGUGAGAGAGCUUUGCGUCCCAUUAGCUAGUUGGAGAGGUAACGGCUCACCAAGGCGAUGAUGGGUAGCCGGCCUGAGAGGGUGAUCGGCCACAAGGGGACUGAGACACGGCCCUUACUCCUACGGGAGGCAGCAGUGGGGAAUAUUGGACAAUGGACCGAGAGUCUGAUCCAGCAAUUCUGUGUGCACGAUGAAGUUUUUCGGAAUGUAAAGUGCUUUCAGUUGGGAAGAAACAAAUGACGGUACCAACAGAAGAAGUGACGGCUAAAUACGUG